RNAcentral lists this ribosomal RNA (217 nucleotides) under uncultured bacterium. RNAcentral describes it as "partial 16S ribosomal RNA". It matches the Rfam family "Bacterial small subunit ribosomal RNA", at positions 524 to 740 of the family's 1533-position model. The record is from RNAcentral.
UACGGAGGGUGCAAGCGUUAUCCGGAUUUACUGGGUUUAAAGGGUGCGCAGGCGGAUAUGUAAGUCAGUGGUGAAAUCUCUAGGCUUAACCUGGAAAUUGCCUUGAUACUAUAUAUCUUGAAUGUUGUGGAGGUAAGCAGAAUAUGUCAUGUAGCGGUGAAAAUGCUUAGAUAUGACAUAGAAUACCUAUUGCGAAGGCAGCUUACUACGCAGAUAU